AGAAUCAACGCUGGCGGCGUGCCUCAGACAUGCAAGUCGAACGCGAAAGUCCCCUUCGGGAGACGAGUAGAGUGGCGCACGGGUGAGUAACACGUAGGUAAUCUACCUUUGGAUGGGGAAUAACAAUCGGAAACGGUUGCUAAUACCGCAUAAUGACAGCGGCACCUAAUGGUGACAGUUGUUAAAGCGGGGGAUCGAAAGACCUCGCGUCUGAAGAGGAGCCUAGCGGCGGAUUAGCUAGUUGGUAAGGUAACGGCUUACCGAAGGCGACGAUCCGUAGCCGGCCUGAGAGGGCGUCGGUCACGACGUGACACUGACAGUACGGGUACAGUAC
Molecule: ribosomal RNA, 334 nt
Filed under: uncultured soil bacterium
Lineage: Bacteria
Description: bacterial SSU rRNA
Rfam family: Bacterial small subunit ribosomal RNA
Source: RNAcentral